UGGGGAAUAUUGCACAAUGGGCGCAAGCCUGAUGAAGCCAUGCCGCGUGUGUGAAGAAGGCCUUCGGGUUGUAAAGCACUUUCAGCGGGGAGGAAGGCGUUAAGGUUAAUAACCUUGGCGAUUGACGUUACCCGCAGAAGAAGCACCGGCUAACUCCGUGCCAGCAGCCGCGGUAAUACGGAGGGUGCAAGCGUUAAUCGGAAUUACUGGGCGUAAAGCGCACGCAGGCGGUCUGUCAAGUCGGAUGUGAAAUCCCCGGGCUCAACCUGGGAACUGCAUUCGAAACUGGCAGGCUAGAGUCUUGUAGAGGGGGGUAGAAUUCCAGGUGUAGCGGUGAAAUGCGUAGAGAUCUGGAGGAAUACCGGUGGCGAAGGCGGCCCCCUGGACAAAGACUGACGCUCAGGUGCGAAAGCGUGGGGAGCAAACAGG
RNAcentral lists this ribosomal RNA (429 nucleotides) under Chloroflexota bacterium. RNAcentral's name for it is "Chloroflexi bacterium partial 16S ribosomal RNA". It matches the Rfam family "Bacterial small subunit ribosomal RNA", at positions 355 to 776 of the family's 1533-position model. The record is from RNAcentral. Lineage: Bacteria; Bacillati; Chloroflexota.